RNAcentral lists this ribosomal RNA (484 nucleotides) under uncultured bacterium. RNAcentral describes it as "partial 16S ribosomal RNA". It matches the Rfam family "Bacterial small subunit ribosomal RNA", at positions 29 to 507 of the family's 1533-position model. The record is from RNAcentral.
AUUGAACGCUGGCGGCAUGCUUUACACAUGCAAGUCGAACGGCAGCGCGGGCUUCGGCCUGGCGGCGAGUGGCGAACGGGUGAGUAAUACAUCGGAACGUGCCCAGUAGUGGGGGAUAGCUCGGCGAAAGCCGGAUUAAUACCGCAUACGACCUGAGGGUGAAAGCGGGGGAUCUUCGGACCUCGCGCUAUUGGAGCGGCCGAUGGCAGAUUAGCUAGUUGGUGGGGUAAAGGCCUACCAAGGCGACGAUCUGUAGCUGGUCUGGGAGGACGACCAGCCACACUGGGACUGAGACACGGCCCAGACUCCUAAGGGAGGCAGCAGUGGGGAAUUUUGGACAAUGGGCGAAAGCCUGAUCCAGCAAUGCCGCGUGUGUGAUGAAGGCCUUCGGGUUGUAAAGCACUUUUGGCGGGAACGAAAAGGACUGUGCCAAUACCACGGUUCGAUGACGGUACCCGCAGAAUAAGCACCGGCUAACUACGUG